RNAcentral lists this microRNA (23 nucleotides) under Bombyx mori (domestic silkworm). RNAcentral describes it as "bmo-miR-745-3p". Its record names the gene bmo-miR-745-3p. Lineage: Eukaryota; Metazoa; Arthropoda; Insecta; Lepidoptera; Bombycidae. The record is from miRBase by way of RNAcentral.
CAGCUGCCUAGCGAAGGGCAACG